AUUGAUUGGUGCUUGCAUCAUGAUUUGCAUUUGAGUGAGUGGCGAACUGGUGAGUAACACGUGGGAAACCUGCCCAGAAGCGGGGGAUAACACCUGGAAACAGAUGCUAAUACCGCAUAACAACUUGGACCGCAUGGUCCGAGUUUGAAAGAUGGCUUCGGCUAUCACUUUUGGAUGGUCCCGCGGCGUAUUAGCUAGAUGGUGAGGUAACGGCUCACCAUGGCAAUGAUACGUAGCCGACCUGAGAGGGUAAUCGGCCACAUUGGGACUGAGACACGGCCCAAACUCCUACGGGAGGCAGCAGUAGGGAAUCUUCCACAAUGGACGAAAGUCUGAUGGAGCAACGCCGCGUGAGUGAAGAAGGGUUUCGGCUCGUAAAACUCUGUUGUUAAAGAAGAACAUAUCUGAGAGUAACUGUUCAGGUAUUGACGGUAUUUAACCAGAAAGCCACGGCUAACUACGUGCCAGCAGCCGCGGUAAUACGUAGGUGGCAAGCGUUGUCCGGAUUUAUUGGGCGUAAAGCGAGCGCAGGCGGUUUUUUAAGUCUGAUGUGAAAGCCUUCGGCUCAACCGAAGAAGUGCAUCGGAAACUGGGAGACUUGAGUGCAGAAGAGGACAGUGGAACUCCAUGUGUAGCGGUGAAAUGCGUAGAUAUAUGGAAGAACACCAGUGGCGAAGGCGGCUGUCUGGUCUGUAACUGACGCUGAGGCUCGAAAGUAUGGGUAGCAAACAGGAUUAGAUACCCUGGUAGUCCAUACCGUAAACGAUGAAUGCUAAGUGUUGGAGGGUUUCCGCCCUUCAGUGCUGCAGCUAACGCAUUAAGCAUUCCGCCUGGGGAGUACGGCCGCAAGGCUGAAACUC
This 860-nucleotide ribosomal RNA is filed under the name Lactiplantibacillus plantarum. Its description in RNAcentral is "bacterial SSU rRNA". It matches the Rfam family "Bacterial small subunit ribosomal RNA", at positions 69 to 902 of the family's 1533-position model. Lineage: Bacteria; Bacillati; Bacillota; Bacilli; Lactobacillales; Lactobacillaceae. The record is from RNAcentral.